RNAcentral lists this ribosomal RNA (293 nucleotides) under uncultured bacterium. RNAcentral's name for it is "partial 16S ribosomal RNA". It matches the Rfam family "Bacterial small subunit ribosomal RNA", at positions 505 to 797 of the family's 1533-position model. The record is from RNAcentral.
GUGCCAGCAGCCGCGGUAAUACGGAGGGGUCUAGCGUUAUUCGGAAUUACUGGGCGUAAAGCGAGCGUAGGCGGAUUUGUAAGUUGGAGGUGAAAUCCCAGAGCUUAACUCUGGAACUGCCUUCAAAACUACAUUUCUUGAGUUUGGUAGAGGAGAGUGGAAUUCCUAGUGUAGAGGUGAAAUUCGUAGAUAUUAGGAGGAACACCAGUGGCGAAGGCGACUCUCUGGGCCAAUACUGACGCUGAGGUUCGAAAGCAUGGGUAGCGAACAGGAUUAGAUACCCCUGUAGUCCC